This 488-nucleotide ribosomal RNA is filed under the name uncultured Gammaproteobacteria bacterium. Its description in RNAcentral is "bacterial SSU rRNA". It matches the Rfam family "Bacterial small subunit ribosomal RNA", at positions 30 to 505 of the family's 1533-position model. The record is from RNAcentral. Lineage: Bacteria; Pseudomonadati; Pseudomonadota; Gammaproteobacteria.
AUUGAACGCUGGAGGUAUGCUUAACACAUGCAAGUCGAACGGUAACGAUGGGUGCUUGCACCCAGGCGACGAGUGGCGGACGGGUGAGUAACGCGUAGGAAUAUACCUAGUAGUGGGGGAUAACAUGGAGAAAUCCAUGCUAAUACCGCAUAUGUCCCAUGGGAUAAAGAGGGCCUCUUCUUGAAAGCUCUUGCUAUUAGAUUAGCCUGCGUCGGAUUAGCUUGUUGGUGAGGUAAUGGCUCACCAAGGCGACGAUCCGUAGCUGGUCUGAGAGGAUGAUCAGCCACACUGGGACUGAGACACGGCCCAGACUCCUACGGGAGGCAGCAGUGGGGAAUAUUGGACAAUGGGCGCAAGCCUGAUCCAGCAAUACCUCGUGUGUGAAGAAGGCCUUAGGGUUGUAAAGCACUUUCAAUUGGGACGAAGAGUGUAAGUUUAAUAAACUUAUACUUUGACGGUACCUUUAGAAGAAGCACCGGCUAACUCCG